RNAcentral lists this ribosomal RNA (346 nucleotides) under uncultured bacterium. Its description in RNAcentral is "partial 16S ribosomal RNA". It matches the Rfam family "Bacterial small subunit ribosomal RNA", at positions 338 to 699 of the family's 1533-position model. The record is from RNAcentral.
CCUACGGGUGGCAGCAGUGGGGAAUAUUGGGCAAUGGGCGCAAGCCUGACCCAGCAAUGCCGCGUGAAGGAAGAAGGCCUUCGGGUUGUAAACUUCUUUUGACAGGGAAGAGAAGAAGACGGUACCUGUCGAAUAAGCCACGGCUAACUAUGUGCAGGCAGUCGCGGUAAUACGUAGGCGGCAAGCGUUGUCCGGAUUUACUGGUUGUCAAGGGGGUGUGGCCGGGCUGACAAGUUAGAUGUAAAAUCCGGGGGUUCAUCCACCGAACUGCAUUUGAAACUGUUGGUCUUGAAUAUCGGGGAGGCAGGCGGAAUUCCUGGUGUAGCGGUGAAAUGCGUAGAUAUUA